GUAAGUAAGCUACUAAGGGCGUGCGGUGGAUGCCUAGGUGCCAAGAGGCGAUGAAGGACGUGGGUGGCUGCGAAAAGCUCCGGGGAGUUGCCAACCGAACGUUGAGCCGGAGAUGUCCGAAUGGGGAAACCCAGCGCGGUGAAAGCCGCGUUACCUCAGCCUGAAUCCAUAGGGCUGAAGGAGCGA
Molecule: ribosomal RNA, 186 nt
Filed under: Cystobacter ferrugineus
Lineage: Bacteria; Pseudomonadati; Myxococcota; Myxococcia; Myxococcales; Archangiaceae
Description: partial 23S ribosomal RNA
Rfam family: Bacterial large subunit ribosomal RNA
Source: RNAcentral